AUGGGAACGCGAAGAACCUUACCUAGACUUGACAUCUCCUGAAUUACUCGUAACUGAGGAAAUCCCUUCGGGGACAGGAAGACAGGUGGUGCAUGGUUGUCGUCAGCUCGUGUCGUGAGAUGUUGGGUUAAGUCCCGCAACGAGCGCAACCCUUAUCAUUAGUUGCUAACAUUUAGUUGAGCACUCUAGUGAGACUGCCUGGGUUAACCAGGAGGAAGGUGGGGAUGACGUCAAAUCAUCAUGCCCCUUAUGUCUAGGGCCACACACGUGCUACAAUGGUGGGGACAAAAAGAUGCAAAACCGCAAGGUUGAGCCAAACUCAAAACCCCAUCCCAGUUCGGAUUGUAGGCUGAAACUCGCCUACAUGAAGCCGGAGUUGCUAGUAAUCGCGAAUCAGAAUGUCGCGGUGAAUACGUUCCCGGGUCUUGUACACACCG
RNAcentral lists this ribosomal RNA (437 nucleotides) under uncultured bacterium. Its description in RNAcentral is "bacterial SSU rRNA". It matches the Rfam family "Bacterial small subunit ribosomal RNA", at positions 954 to 1392 of the family's 1533-position model. The record is from RNAcentral.